GGUCAGAGGGAUUCUUGGGUUAGUUCUAUCUAGGAACGUGUUAGGCUAAAAAUGGUAAUAUUUCUUCCUUGGGAAUUUGGCUAAUGCAAGCCAUGAAAUCUACUAGUAUAAGUAGAGAAAGACGUGCCUUGGAUAUGUACCACCUUAAAAAUAAGGUCAUAAGCAUAAGGGCUUUGGUGCUGAAUGAGAGUAGGCACAAAGCAUAAGGGCUAGGGGUCAGAGGGGUUAUUGGGUUAAUUUGAUCUAGAAACAUGUUAGGUAGUGUUUCUGUCUGGAGUGUGACAUGUUAGUCAAUUCAGAAGAGCUGGUAAGACACUUUAUCUAUGUAAAGAUAAAUAUUUAUUAUUAUCCUGAUGAACUACUUUGUGAAAUAAAUAAAACAUUACACUUGUAU
Molecule: long non-coding RNA, 394 nt
Filed under: Brassica napus (rape)
Lineage: Eukaryota; Viridiplantae; Streptophyta; Magnoliopsida; Brassicales; Brassicaceae
Description: long non-coding RNA (BNAP_LNC001912)
Source: RNAcentral